This 26-nucleotide transfer RNA is filed under the name Alaria esculenta (Atlantic wakame). RNAcentral describes it as "partial tRNA-Ile". The record is from RNAcentral. RNAcentral also lists the same sequence under 1 other name. Lineage: Eukaryota; Phaeophyceae; Laminariales; Alariaceae.
CGGUUUGUAGUUUAAUUGGCAAAACA